UUGCCCAUGGCUAAAUAUCCAUUAUAUUGAAAAUAAUGUAUCAAAUUAAUUAUGUGGACCACACAAGCUCAUAUUAUUGCAUUUUUAUGCACUGUAUUCUCCUAGUCUUUUUAUUUAUUUAUAUUUUUAUAUAUUACUUUAAUUCUAUCCUAGUGGUGAAAUACCUACUUUGGUACAUUGGGAUGUUUGCUGAGUCAGUUCAUCCCAAUAUUAAUAAAUUGCAUUAGAUAAUGACCAUGCACUUAUAUGUCUACAUAGAGCUGUGCUCUACAUUUGGCUCUAAUUGAUAAAUAGCUUUGUUAAAUGCACAAACCACAAAAAUCACUUUAACAGUCUCAUUCAUACCCUGCUCUUUUCUUAUCUGCACUUUUUAAACAGUGACCUGUUGCGUCUGCUAGGGAAAUGCUCUGUCUUUAUGUUAAUGUCAGCUUGAGUAAUUUGUUGGCCCCAUAAAAACAAAUCAUGGCCUUAUGGAGAUUGGCUCCGGUUAACCUUUAUUCUAACAACAAGUGCACUGUGCAAAGCAAAUAAAUGCCUGGGUCACAGUGACUGCAAAGAGGUUGUACUGUGUGAGUAACAUAUAUCCCAUCCCAUCCAAGAUUUAUCCAGCUGAUGAACAAUUGUUACUAGAGCUGCUUUGAAGUAUUUAGAACACAAGCAAAAUAAAUAUUCUGCUUGAAAAUUCCACAUGGAGUCACAAGGGACAUCUGGAAUAUAAUACACAAAGUACAAUGCGUAUAAUUUCCACCACAGUGGAUUUCUCUUUGUGCUCCAUACAUAUUGUAGCAAGGCUGCGUAUUUUAUUUUAUUGUGUAAUAGUGUAUGCGGGACCAUAUAUGUUGUAUCAAGGUGGCUGAAGCAAUUUGUGAAUCCAAAAUGUGUUUUGGUUCAUAUUUUACAAGGGUAUUUAUCGGGUGUUUCUCUUCAAGCUACAAGUUGCCAACAUGCCCCUUAAUGGUAAUCGUUUUCUAGGGACUAUCGAAACAUCUGAUGUAAUAGAGAGUCACAAGAGCAAGAAACCCUGCCCAUGAGUGACCGGUGAUGCUUUUUUUAAAAUUUGUGACGAGGGUAAGUGUAAGUCACAAUUUUGACCAUCUACUAAUAAACAUGAGAAGAUGCUGGAGGUAGGUGGACACAAGUGAGCGAAAGACAUCUAACAGCAUAAACAUUUUGAAUUUUAAAUCAGAAAUGGGGGGGGGAGGGGGAGUGGAUAUGAAAUAAGUAUUUAGUGUAAAAUGUUGAGUAAAACACUCUGGAUUCUGGAUCCC
Molecule: non-coding RNA, 1268 nt
Organism: Pelobates cultripes (western spadefoot toad)
Lineage: Eukaryota; Metazoa; Chordata; Amphibia; Anura; Pelobatidae
Source: the annotation of a GenBank genome assembly